This 491-nucleotide ribosomal RNA is filed under the name uncultured bacterium. Its description in RNAcentral is "bacterial SSU rRNA". It matches the Rfam family "Bacterial small subunit ribosomal RNA", at positions 12 to 518 of the family's 1533-position model. The record is from RNAcentral.
UUCGAUUCUGGCUCGAGGACGAACGCUGGCGGCGUGCCUAACACAUGCAAGUCGAGCGAGGAGAUUCCUUCGGGAUGAUCCUAGCGGCGGACGGGUGAGUAACACGUGGGCAACCUGCCUCAUAGAGAGGAAUAGCCUUCCGAAAGGGAGAUUAAUACCUCAUAACAUUGCAGUUUCGCAUGGAACAGCAAUUAAAGGAGCAAUCCGCUAUGAGAUGGGCCCGCGGCGCAUUAGCUAGUUGGUGGGGUAACGGCUCACCAAGGCGACGAUGCGUAGCCGACCUGAGAGGGUGAUCGGCCACAUUGGGACUGAGACACGGCCCAGACUCCUACGGGAGGCAGCAGUGGGGAAUAUUGCACAAUGGGGGAAACCCUGAUGCCAGCAACGCCGCGUGAGUGAUGACGGCCUUCGGGUUGUAAAGCUCUGUCUUCAGGGACGAUAAUGACGGUACCUGAGGAGGAAGCCACGGCUAACUACGUGCCAGCCGCGGC